This 48-nucleotide non-coding RNA is filed under the name Schistosoma mansoni. The record is from RNAcentral. Lineage: Eukaryota; Metazoa; Platyhelminthes; Trematoda; Strigeidida; Schistosomatidae.
AUCCGGCUGACGAGUCCCAAAUAGGAUGAAGUGACACGCAUUCUGGAU